GGCUGGGGCAGCGGCGGACGCGCGGCCGAGCAGGGCGGCGGCGAGCCCGGCAGAUUAUCACUCACGUAAGGACCGAGAAGCCACAGGACUCUGGGGGCACAGCCCUGACUCCACAGCCAGACUUGCCUCGGCCAACUUGUUCGGCGGGUUUGUUGCAUCAGCCUGGACUGGUGAACCUCAAUCACAAGAGAUAGUGCCAGUAAACGGGUAUUCCCUGAGCGGCCUGCUGUGGAUUCAAGCACAGAGUCCUAGGUCCUGUCCUGGAGGUGCUCACCUUCUAGGGAGAGAGGCAG
Long non-coding RNA from Hyaena hyaena (striped hyena), 293 nucleotides. RefSeq lists it as uncharacterized. NCBI's taxonomy places the organism in Eukaryota, Metazoa, Chordata, Mammalia, Carnivora, Hyaenidae. The transcript has 3 exons. The record is from RefSeq and is a predicted model, not a curated record.